ACACAGAGAGCCUCAGUGACACCUGCACAGGCUGGGACAGACACAGAGAGCUCUCAGUGACACCUGCACAGGCUGGGACAGACACAGCCCUCAGUGACACCUGCACAGGCUCCUGAGGCUGGGACAAUACCAAACACUGCAGGGUCAUUGUCCCACCCAAACCCCCCCACCCCAUUAGCGCAUCUCUGUGCACAACCUUUACUGUUUUCAGCAGUGCUGUGCAGCCUGCAGUGGUUUCCUGGCACGGAUGUGUGGCAUGAACCCUGUCACGUGUGGUACUGUCAGUGUGUCCAUGUGGGCAGGGGUCACUGGGAUGUUAAUCACACCUGUUUUAAAGCCUGUACAGACUGAAAUGACAUUUCAGUUCACUGGCCUGGCUACAGGAAGCCAAGAGUAGGAGUGCAGUGCUCUCCACCAAAGCUGCAAUGCCUCCUCUAAACACCGCUUAGUUUCCAAACAUGCAGAGUACCCAGGAGACUUGCUCUCAUCAGAUUGAACUAAAUGUGUGCUAUGGAGUUGUGAAGAAAGAUGUCUACUGGCAGCUGCUCUUCUCUUUUGGGAAAACUGCUACUUUGGAGUGUCCUUCUGGAUGAAAGGCAGGAAAACUGCUAUCAUUAAAUAAUAGUAUUGUGGAGCCCCAAAAUAUUGUGUGUUUUAAUGCUGUUGCAUAAUCUUGGGGCUUAUUGAUGCUUUAUGCUCCUGUAUAAUAGCCUCAAACACAUGA
Molecule: long non-coding RNA, 724 nt
Organism: Vidua chalybeata
Lineage: Eukaryota; Metazoa; Chordata; Aves; Passeriformes; Viduidae
Exons: 4
Source: RefSeq, a predicted model, not a curated record